RNAcentral lists this ribosomal RNA (435 nucleotides) under uncultured bacterium. Its description in RNAcentral is "partial 16S ribosomal RNA". It matches the Rfam family "Bacterial small subunit ribosomal RNA", at positions 29 to 507 of the family's 1533-position model. The record is from RNAcentral.
AGCGAACGCUGGCGGCAGGCUUAACACAUGCAAGUCGAACGGGCAUCUUCGGAUGUCAGUGGCAGACGGGUGAGUAACACGUGGGAACGUACCCUUCAGUUCGGAAUAACUCAGGGAAACUUGAGCUAAUACCGGAUACGCCCUUUUGGGGAAAGGUUUACUGCCGAAGGAUCGGCCCGCGUCUGAUUAGCUUGUUGGUGGGGUAACGGCCUACCAAGGCGACGAUCAGUAGCUGGUCUGAGAGGAUGAUCAGCCACACUGGGACUGAGACACGGCCCAGACUCCUACGGGAGGCAGCAGUGGGGAAUAUUGGACAAUGGGCGCAAGCCUGAUCCAGCCAUGCCGCGUGAGUGAUGAAGGCCUUAGGGUUGUAAAGCUCUUUUGUCCGGGACGAUAAUGACGGUACCGGAAGAAUAAGCCCCGGCUAACUUCGUG